This is a long non-coding RNA of Pezoporus flaviventris, 671 nucleotides long. RefSeq lists it as uncharacterized. The transcript has 2 exons. The record is from RefSeq and is a predicted model, not a curated record. Lineage: Eukaryota; Metazoa; Chordata; Aves; Psittaciformes; Psittacidae.
CUUUACGAUGCCAGGUAGUGAAUGUUCUGUAUGGGAAGCUGCUCAGGUCAAGUACACCAGCUGGAGUAGUUACUCAUUGUCCUUUCAUUCAGUCCAGCUACCUUCUAGCUGUAGGAAAACAGUAGUUAUUUCCCAGGAGGAAGACUCGUAAUGCCAUGAGCUGUGUAGUGCCAUAUAUGUGGCAAUGACUGUCUGCAGUUUGUCCCACUCAUGAUCCAGUCUUACUUGUUGUUUAUAUUUGGAUGCAUGUACCCAAAUGUUCUCUUGCAUAAACACAGUGUGUGUAAAUAAAGCGUUACCGAGUGGUUAUGUAGUUGUAAGGGUAUGUUGAGAUGCCUACACAAUUUCAGUGCAGCCACAACAACUGACUGUAUGGGGGAGGGUGAGGGCCACUGUCAUCAGUAACCAUCAUACAUGAAAUGGUUUUCUAAGGUUAAGCUGAAAAAGCGUGCCUGUCAUUCCAUAUUUUUUGGUGACACCAGGAAAUCUGCAGUUGUUUGCUCCCCCAAAACCCUGUCUGCAGCUGCGGGAGAACCGUGGUGGUAGUGGCUAAGCUGAAGUGUGUCUUCAUUGCUCCCUGAGUGCACAUCUAUUUCAGAUCACUGCUGAUUUAUCUCCUGAACGGGGGAGCGUUUCACACUUCUGAAAUGAAAGCACUCUACAAACUCUUA